GGAUGUGAGGGUGAUCUGCCUGUGACAACUCUCACCCCACUGAUCGCCAGGGUUGAUUCGGCUGAUCUGGCUGGCUAGAUGGGUGACCCCUUCCUCCCUCACUGCUCCAUGUGCGUCCCUCCCGAAACUCCACGCUCAGUCGAAGAGGACGACCAUGCCCAACAGAGGAGGACCAGUCUUGGGUCAAGGGUGUAUGAGUAGCUGCGCUCCCCUGCUGGACACUCCAAACAAGCUCCCAAGAUUAGCUUUGGGACUCUCACUGCAUUGUGCCCACAAAGUCCUAUGCCCAAAGUUCUUGUAUCAGAAACU
Molecule: unclassified non-coding RNA, 309 nt
Organism: Gorilla gorilla gorilla (western lowland gorilla)
Lineage: Eukaryota; Metazoa; Chordata; Mammalia; Primates; Hominidae
Gene: 7SK
Rfam family: 7SK RNA
About the family: 7SK was discovered as an abundant small nuclear RNA in the mid-70s but a possible function has only recently been suggested.
Source: Ensembl